GAUCAAGCGUCUGGAAGGGCAUCUGGUGGAUGCCUUGGCGCAUGCAGGCGAUGAAGGACGUGGUACGCUGCGAAAAGCUUCGGGGAGUUGCGAACAAACUUUGAUCCGAAGAUAUCCGAAUGGGGCAACCCAACCGUAAGGUUAUCCCUCACUGAAUUCAUAGGUGAGGGAGGCAAACCCGGGGAAUUGAAAUAUCUCAGUACCCGGAGGAAAGGACAUCAACCGAGACUCCGCUAGUAGUGACGAGCGAACGCGGACCAGGCCAGUGGCCUGACUUGAGCAACCGAAAUCGUCUGGAAAGGCGACCCAUAGAGGGUGAUAGGCCCGUACGGGUAAGCAAAGGUCAGGUCCUCGAGUAGGGCGGGGCACGUGAAACCCUGUCUGAACGUGGGGGGACCACCCUCCAAGCCUAAGUACUCGCAUGCGACCGAUAGUGAACCAGUACCGUGAGGGAAAGGUGAAAAGCACCCCGAUAAGGGGAGUGAAACAGUUCCUGAAACCGGAUGCCUACAAUCAGUCGGAGCCCCCUUGUGGGGUGACGGCGUACCUUUUGUAUAAUGGGUCAGCGACUUAGUAUACCUAGCAAGCUUAAGCCGGUAGGUGGAGGCGUAGCGAAAGCGAGUCUGAAUAGGGCGAUUGAGUUAGUUGUAUUAGACCCGAAGCCGAGUGAUCUAGCCAUGGGCAGGUUGCAGGUGCGGUAACACGCACUGAAGGACCGAACCCACUUCUGUUGAAAAAGAACGGGAUGACCUGUGGCUAGGGGUGAAAGGCCAAUCAAACUCGGCAAUAGCUGGUUCUCCGCGAAAGCUAUUUAGGUAGCGCGUCGUGUGGUGACCAACGGGGGUAGAGCACUGGAUGGGCUAGGGGGGCGCGAGCCUUACCAAACCUAACCAAACUCCGAAUACCGUUGAGUAAAGCACGGCAGACAGUCCUUGGGUGAUAAGGUCCAAGGACAAGAGGGAAACAGCCCAGACCGCCAGCUAAGGUCCCAAAGUUAUGGCUAAGUGGGAAAGGAUGUGGGAAGACCAAGACAAUCAGGAGGUUGGCUUAGAAGCAGCCAUCCUUUAAAGAAAGCGUAAUAGCUCACUGAUCUAAAUAAGUCGUCCUGCGCCGAAGAUGUACCGGGGCUCAAGCCAUACACCGAAGCUGCGGAUCUCCUUUUGGAGAUGGUAGCGGAGCGUUCUGUAAGUCUGCGAAGGGUAACCGUGAGGUUGCCUGGAGAUAUCAGAAGUGAGAAUGCUGACAUGAGUAGCGAUAAGGCAUGUGAGAAACAUGCCCGCCGAAAGUCCAAGGGUUCCUGCGCCAGGCUAUUCCGCGCAGGGUUAGUCGGCCCCUAAGGCGAGGCUGAAAAGCGUAGUCGAUGGGAAUCAGGUUAAUAUUCCUGAACUUGGUGGUAGUGACGGCGUCUAGCUGUAGUUCAUCCUUAUCGGAUUGGAUGGGCUGCGAAGGACGUCCAGGAAAUAGCUCCACCGUAUAAACCGUACCCUAAACCGACACAGGUGGACUGGUAGAGUAUACCCAGGNGUUUGAGAGAAUGAUGUUGAAGGAACUCGGCAAAUUGCCCCCGUAACUUCGGGAGAAGGGGGCCCUAUGCGCGGGCAACCGCGUGUGGGGGGCACAGACCAGGGGGUGGCGACUGUUUACUAAAAACAUAGGACUCUGCGAAGUCUCAAGACGACGUAUAGGGUCUGACGCCUGCCCGGUGCUGGAAGGUUAAAAGGAGAGGUGAGAGCCUUGAAUUGAAGCCCCAGUAAACGGCGGCCGUAACUAUAACGGUCCUAAGGUAGCGAAAUUCCUUGUCGGGUAAGUUCCGACCUGCACGAAUGGCGUAACGACUUCCCCACUGUCUCCAACAUCAACUCAGCGAAAUUGAAUUCCCCGUGAAGAUGCGGGGGUCCUGCGGUCAGACGGAAAGACCCCGUGAACCUUUACUAUAGCUUUACAGUGGCGCCAGAGGUGACAUGUGUAGGAUAGGUGGGAGGCUUUGAAGCGAUAGCGCCAGCUUUCGUGGAGCCAUCCUUGAAAUACCACCCUUGUUGCUUCUGUCGUCUAACCAUGGCCCGUGAACCCGGGUCUGGGACCCUGUAUGGUGGGUAGUUUGACUGGGGCGGUCGCCUCCCAAAGAGUAACGGAGGCGCGCGAUGGUAGGCUCAGGCCGGUCGGAAAUCGGUCUUCGAGUGCAAUGGCAUAAGCCUGCCUGACUGUGAGACUCACAAGUCGAACAGAGACGAAAGUCGGUCAUAGUGAUCCGGUGGUCCCGCGUGGAAGGGCCAUCGCUCAACGGAUAAAAGGUACUCCGGGGAUAACAGGCUGAUACCGCCCAAGAGUCCACAUCGACGGCGGUGUUUGGCACCUCGAUGUCGGCUCAUCUCAUCCUGGGGCUGGAGCAGGUCCCAAGGGUACGGCUGUUCGCCGUUUAAAGAGGUACGUGAGCUGGGUUUAGAACGUCGUGAGACAGUUCGGUCCCUAUCUGCCGUAGGUGUUGAUACUUGAGAGGAUCUGUCCCUAGUACGAGAGGACCGGGAUGGACGUACCUCUGGUGGAUCGGUUGUCACGCCAGUGGCACAGCCGAGUAGCUAUGUAUGGACCGGAUAACCGCUGAAAGCAUCUAAGCGGGAAGCCGUCCUCAAAACCAGGUAUCGUUGAGAGUCGUGGAAGACCACCACGUUGAUAGGCAGCGUGUGGAAGCGUGGCAACACGUGAAGCUAAGCUGUACUAAUCGCUCGAGGGCUUGAUCUC
This 2739-nucleotide ribosomal RNA is filed under the name Alphaproteobacteria bacterium. Its description in RNAcentral is "23S ribosomal RNA". It matches the Rfam family "Bacterial large subunit ribosomal RNA". The record is from RNAcentral. Lineage: Bacteria; Pseudomonadati; Pseudomonadota; Alphaproteobacteria.